UGCGCGCGCUGUGACGUUCCCUACGCGGUCGGGCGUUGGGUUUCGCGGCGCUCGCCGCACUGGUUGUUCAGCACCUUCGGUCCGGUUGAGGUUGUCAAGUCGGACCAAACAGGUUGUUUCUCUGCAGUUUCCAACAUGGCAGGGAGGUUUAAUAGACAUGGAUAAGAAGUCCACUCACAGAAAUCCUGAAGAUGCCAGGGCUGGCAAAUAUGAAGGUAAACACAAACGAAAGAAAAGAAGAAAGCAAAACCAAAACCAGCACCGAUCCCGACAUAGAUCAGUGACGUCUUUUUCUUCAGAUGAUCCUAUGUUUCCUUCUUCCUCAUCAUCGUCUUCAGGAAGCCAGACAGAUUCAAGUAUUGAAGAUGCUGCCAAGGGAAAAAUUAAGAAGAAGAGAAGAGAGAAAACAAAUAAAUGGGAAAAAAGAAAGGCUGCACAAGAAUGGCGCCAGUAUCUGCUUCUGGCAAGAGACUGAGGCUGCUUCCACUCAUGGCAGAAGGUGAAGGGGCGCCUGCAACUGCAGAUCUCAUGGACAAAAUAUGAAACACCAAGAAAAAGAGAAGGAAAAAAAGGAGGAAACAACCACAUAUGUCACCUUUCCAAGAGGGACUGAAACUGGGCUGACCCUUUUGAUUUCCAAGCUCAGCGUUUUGGUGUAAGGCGGCCAAAGAAGGAUGCGGAGCCCAGCACUGUGAAGCCUACAAAAACAUUGAUGCGCUGGCUUGGGGAUUUGAAUUUGAACAUCUUUCACACUAAGUUCAGACUCAUGAAACCAAUCUUCAGAUGCUCUGUAAACCACAUAAUAAAGAGUUUGGAAAU
This 819-nucleotide long non-coding RNA is filed under the name Homo sapiens (human). RNAcentral's name for it is "HSALNT0298018". The record is from RNAcentral. Lineage: Eukaryota; Metazoa; Chordata; Mammalia; Primates; Hominidae.